Molecule: ribosomal RNA, 483 nt
Filed under: uncultured bacterium
Lineage: Bacteria
Description: partial 16S ribosomal RNA
Rfam family: Bacterial small subunit ribosomal RNA
Source: RNAcentral
AUUGAACGCUGGCGGAAUGCUUUACACAUGCAAGUCGAACGGCAGCACGGGGGCAACCCUGGUGGCGAGUGGCGAACGGGUGAGUAAUACAUCGGAACGUGCCCGGUCGUGGGGGAUAACGUAGCGAAAGUUACGCUAAUACCGCAUACGAUCUGAGGUUGAAAGCGGGGGACCUUCGGGCCUCGCGCGAUCGGAGCGGCCGAUGUCAGAUUAGGUAGUUGGUGGGGUAAAGGCCUACCAAGCCGACGAUCUGUAGCUGGUCUGAGAGGACGACCAGCCACACGGGGCCUGGGCCAGGCCCCGACCUCUCAGGGGGGGCAGCAGGGGGGAUUUUUGGCAAAUGGGCGCAACCCUGACCCGGCCAUUCCGCGGGAAGGACGAAGGCCUGCGGGUUGUAAACUUUUUUUGUAUGGAACGAAAAGGCUCUGGCUAAGACCUGGGGCUCAUGACGGUACCGAAAGAAUAAGCACCGGCUAACUACGU